Molecule: long non-coding RNA, 2084 nt
Filed under: Homo sapiens (human)
Lineage: Eukaryota; Metazoa; Chordata; Mammalia; Primates; Hominidae
Description: HSALNT0002709
Source: RNAcentral
CUCCCUUCCUCCCUCCUUCUCUCUGUCUACCUCAGCAUUUCUGGGGUUCACUCUGCUCUGGGUACUGUGUAAAGGACUCCACAGCCAUCAACUUCCCUUCAUCCUUGCCGUGUCUUUGAAAGAGCUGAGAUUUCUUUACAUCACAGUGGUUCAAGGAGAAAAACACAGCCAGAUCCUUCCUCAUCUCAACAUAAAUUAAACCCAGAGGCAGUCAGCGCCACAGUCCACACUCGUAACCGUUACACUCACCUGGAAAUAAAAGUAUUUUUGUGCGGGGACUGCAAGGACUAAGCCCGGCCGCACUCCGAGUUUCUCCUCCUCACAGUGACUCAUUGCUCAGGUGAGGAAACUGAGGCUCAGAGAGGGUCCGUGGCAUGUCCAAGGUUACUCUGCUGUUAAUUGUUUUCUUGGCACUCUCUCCCUUCUCACCUGUGACUACCUGAGUGUCCCCAGAGGCAAGGAACUAUGUGAGCCACUCCAGUGUUCCCAGCCCCAAGGCCAGGCACAGUGGACAUUUAUUGCUGAAUGAAUGAAUCAAGAGAGAGGAUCAGAAAGCUGCAGAGGAUGAUAGAUCUGCAAAAUUCUCCCUGGGUGAGGCCCAGGCUCAGCUUCCAGAACAGCUCCAUCUGUCUCCCACUCACUGAGAUUGAACUAAUGUCCCACAGUUGGACAGACCUGAAAUUGAGCUCUGUGAUUUUGGAUGGAGUCUCAAUAUGCUGCCCAGGCUGGAGUGUGGUGGUGCCAACAUAGCUCAUUGCAGCCUUGAACACCCAGGCUCAAGUGAUCCUCCUAUCUCAGCCUCCCAAGUAGCUGGGACUACAGGUGCUCCAUUAAAUCAGGAACCUUGUUGCUUCUGGUAUCUGGGGUGUCCCACCGCUACCCCCAUGUGAGUGCCUGGCACAUAUAGAUACUUGAUACCUGCUUGCUGAAUAAAUGAAUAAGUGCAACUUGACUGGAUGAUGAGAGGCACAGCUGAGUCCGGAGCAGACUGAGCCACCUAAGAGGGGAGGAACCGCUGCAGAGAAACCGUGUUAAGCCUUUUUGAAGUUCCAGAGGGAGAACAAGAGAGCGGAGGCUCCUGGUGGCUGGUGACAGGUGCUGAUUUGUUCUGGGGAAAGAGCACAGAAAAGUGCCUGGAGAGGAGGCGGGGCCAAAAUGGGAUGUAGGCGAUGGGAAGGACCCUCAAGACACAGUCCUGGGCUCCCAGGCAGGACCAACCCCCAAACCUGUCCCCCCAGGAGCCUGCAGAGCCACUGCCCUGACAGGGGACACCUCACUUCCUCUCCUUGCAGCUGCUCUUGGCUGGGAGAGCAGAGAACAGGGGACAGGAGAGAAGCCCCGAGAGUACUGAAGCUGAGGCUGGGGCGGUCUUCACUUCCCUCUUUCCUCGGCCCUUUUCCUGUUCUCUUGUCUUGUCUCUCUUUCUCUACUUUCCUUCUCCCUAGCCCAGUCUCUCACCGCUCUUCAGCCUCUGGGCCUUUCCUUCUUCCUCUCUUGCCCUCAUUCUUCCUUCUCUGUCCCUCUUGUCUUCUCUUUUACCUCUUCUCUUCUUCCCUCCUUCCUACAGCUAUGCCCUCUUCCCUCCUUUCUCUUGUCCCCAACCAGGGCAUUAGAAAUGCAUUCCAGUUACACUGAUCUGAUCACUGCAUAUUGUAUGCAUGCAUCAAAAUAUCACAUGUACCCCAGAAAUAUGUAAAUUACUGCAUAUCAAUAAAAAGAAAUGUAGCUUCUUUGCCUCACAUACAGAAAAGCCAAUCUGAAGUAUAAAUAAAUAAACAAACAAAUAAAUAAAACGAACCACACUGGCCCCCCCGCCGCCUCCCAGCCAUCAUCUGGGCCUGCCACUAUUUGCUCAGGGUAUCUAAACAUCAGCCAAAAUCAAAGAAAAAGUUUUAAAAUCUAUUGUUAAAAAUUUCCAAGGCUAAGUUGACAUGCAUGUACAAUAGCAUUUCCCAAACUGUGACUUAAUAAACUCCAAGCCUUCAAGUUGGGAGAGGUGGUUCCAUGAUACCGUUAAAAGCACAGACUGAAGCCCAUCUGCCUGGGUUUAAAUCCUUGCUCUGCAGCAUGAUAGUUAUGUGACC